This 465-nucleotide ribosomal RNA is filed under the name uncultured bacterium. RNAcentral describes it as "partial 16S ribosomal RNA". It matches the Rfam family "Bacterial small subunit ribosomal RNA", at positions 28 to 507 of the family's 1533-position model. The record is from RNAcentral.
GACGAACGCUGGCGGCGUGCUUAACACAUGCAAGUCGAACGGAAAGGCCCUGCUUGCAGGGUACUCGAGUGGCGAACGGGUGAGUAACACGUGGGUGAUCUGCCCUGCACUUCGGGAUAAGCCUGGGAAACUGGGUCUAAUACCGGAUAGGAGCCAUCUUUAGUGUGAUGGUUGGAAAGUUUUUUCGGUGUAGGAUGAGCUCGCGGCCUAUCAGCUUGUUGGUGGGGUAAUGGGCUACCAAGGCGGCGACGGGUAGCCGGCCUGAGAGGGUGGACGGCCACAUUGGGACUGAGAUACGGCCCAGACUCCUACGGGAGGCAGCAGUGGGGAAUAUUGCACAAUGGGCGCAAGCCUGAUGCAGCGACGCCGCGUGGGGGAUGACGGCCUUCGGGUUGUAAACUCCUUUCGCUAGGGACGAAGCUUUUUGUGACGGUACCUAGAGAAGAAGCACCGGCUAACUACGUG